This 1105-nucleotide ribosomal RNA is filed under the name bacterium endosymbiont of Neohaemonia nigricornis. Its description in RNAcentral is "bacterial SSU rRNA". It matches the Rfam family "Bacterial small subunit ribosomal RNA", at positions 384 to 1482 of the family's 1533-position model. The record is from RNAcentral.
UGAUGCAGCUAUSCCGCGUGUAUGAAGAAGGCCUUAGGGUUGUAAAGUACUUUCAAUAAGGAAGAAGUAAUAAAAUAUAAUAUAUUUUAUUAUUGACGUUACUUAUAAAAGAAGCACCGGCUAACUCCGUGCCAGCAGCCGCGGUAAUACGGAGGGUGCUAGCGUUAAUCGGAAUUACUGGGCGUAAAGAGCACGUAGGCGGUUUAUUAAGUCAGAUGUGAAAUCCCUAAGCUUAACUUAGGAACUGCAUUUGAAACUAAUUUACUUGAGUAUCAUAGAGGGGAGUAGAAUUCCAGGUGUAGCGGUGAAAUGCGUAGAUAUCUGGAGGAAUACCAGUGGCGAAGGCGACUCCCUGGAUGAAUGCUGACGCUCAGGUGCGAAAGCAUGGGUAGCAAACAGGAUUAGAUACCCUGGUAGUCCAUGCUGUAAACGAUGUCGACUUGGAGGUUGUAAGCUUGUCUUGUAGCUUCCGUAGCUAACGCGUUAAGUCGACCGCCUGGGGAGUACGACCGCAAGGUUAAAACUCAAAUGAAUUGACGGGGGCCCGCACAAGCGGUGGAGCAUGUGGUUUAAUUCGAUGCAACGCGAAAAACCUUACCUGGUCUUGACAUCCAUGGAAUUUAAUAGAGAUAUUUUAGUGCCUUCGGGAACCAUGAGACAGGUGCUGCAUGGCUGUCGUCAGCUCGUGUUGUGAAAUGUUGGGUUAAGUCCCGCAACGAGCGCAACCCUUGUCCUUUGUUGCCAACGGUUCGGCCGGGAACUCAAAGGAGACUGCUGGUGAUAAGCCGGAGGAAGGUGGGGAUGACGUCAAGUCAUCAUGGCCCUUACGACCAGGGCUACACACGUGCUACAAUGGUAUAUACAAAGGGAAGCAUCCUCGCAAGAGUAAGCGGAUCUCAUAAAAUAUAUCUUAGUUCGGAUUGGAGUCUGCAACUCGACUCUAUGAAGUCGGAAUCGCUAGUAAUCGUAGAUCAGAAUGCUACGGUGAAUACGUUCCCGGGCCUUGUACACACCGCCCGUCACACCAUGGGAGUGGGUUGUAAAAGAAGUAGGUUGCUUAACCUUACGGRGAGCGCUUACCACUUUGUGAUUCAUAACUGGGGGG